GCGAAAGUGGCGGAACUGGCAGACGCGCGAGAUUUAGAGUCUCGUGGGGGUCACCCCGUGGGGGUUCGAGUCCCCCCUUUCGCACCA
Molecule: transfer RNA, 87 nt
Filed under: Holophagae bacterium
Lineage: Bacteria; Pseudomonadati; Acidobacteriota; Holophagae
Also listed under: 2 other names
Description: tRNA-Leu
Rfam family: tRNA
About the family: Transfer RNA (tRNA) molecules are approximately 80 nucleotides in length. Their secondary structure includes four short double-helical elements and three loops (D, anti-codon, and T loops).
Source: RNAcentral